UACGGAGGGUGCAAGCGUUGCUCGGAAUUAUUGGGCGUAAAGGGUAUGUAGGUGGUCUUAUUUGUCUGGGGUGAAAGCCUUGAGCUUAACUCAAGAAGUGCCCCAGAAACGGUAAGACUAGAGUCCUGGAGAGGGUCGUGGAAUUCCCGGUGUAGCGGUGAAAUGCGUAGAGAUCGGGAGGAACACCAGAGGCGAAAGCGGCGACCUGGACAGGUACUGACACUCAACUACGAAAGCGUGGGGAGCAAACAGG
This 253-nucleotide ribosomal RNA is filed under the name uncultured bacterium. Its description in RNAcentral is "partial 16S ribosomal RNA". It matches the Rfam family "Bacterial small subunit ribosomal RNA", at positions 524 to 776 of the family's 1533-position model. The record is from RNAcentral.